UACGGAGGAUGCGAGCGUUAUCCGGAUUUAUUGGGUUUAAAGGGUGCGUAGGCGGAAGUUCAAGUCAGCGGUAAAAUCGAGGGGCUCAACCCCUUUAAGCCGUUGAAACUGGGUUUCUUGAGUGGGCGAGAAGUGUGCGGAAUGUGUGGUGUAGCGGUGAAAUGCAUAGAUAUCACACAGAACUCCGAUUGCGAAGGCAGCACACCGGCGCCCAACUGACGCUGAGGCACGAAAGCGUGGGGAUCAAACAGG
RNAcentral lists this ribosomal RNA (252 nucleotides) under Muribaculum intestinale. RNAcentral's name for it is "partial 16S ribosomal RNA". It matches the Rfam family "Bacterial small subunit ribosomal RNA", at positions 524 to 776 of the family's 1533-position model. The record is from RNAcentral. Lineage: Bacteria; Pseudomonadati; Bacteroidota; Bacteroidia; Bacteroidales; Muribaculaceae.